AGCAAAAAAAUAAAUAAAUUUGAACAUCAGUUUGGAUGUGGGGCCCACCGCAUUAUUGUUCACCCUUAUUUCUCCUCAACAUUUGCGCAGAUUUCAUUCUCCCCAUGAGGAGAUUAUUUUCUUCUCAUUAGUGUAGGUUAUUUGUAUUUUUUUUUCACACUUAUUUUUUCUCAUGUACAUUUUUUACCUCAUUGGUGUGAAUGCUCUUAGGCAAAACUUUUACCUUUUUUUUUAAAAAAAAAAAAAAAAAUAUUACUUGCACUAGUACGGGUAGUACCUUUACAAAAAUGAAAAUUCGAGAAUAUUUAAAUGUCAUUCUGUGAUAAAUUGCAUAACGAAAUGAGUUAUGGACACCAACAUUGAGAAAGAUACACCUUGCUCUUCUAUUGCCGUUGAAUCUAUUGUUCGUAUUGGAACAGCAGGAGCACUCUGGGGUUUGUGUUCUGGAUCAUAUGAUGCUAACAAAUUAGGUCUUGCUGGCUUUUCUCGUGCUUCGUUUGUGGCAAAAUCGAUUGGCGUAACUAGCUUUCAAUGUGGAAUGUUUGCCGGAGUUUUUUCCUUGACUCGCUGUGGAAUCCAAAGUUAUCGAGGGCGUGAAGAUGUGUUAAAUGCUGCUGCUGCAGGUGCUAUAGUUGGAGCUGCUAUUGCUGUCGGGACUCGUAGCAAGAAGGAGGUUGCUGGAGUGGCUGCUCUUCUUUCCAUUUUAGGUGCAGCAGCUGAUUAUUCCAGGACACUGUGAUUUUUGAAAUUAUUUUACCAAGGAACUUAGAUGGGACUUUCUCAAACUUGAUGCUUUGUUGAAAGGUCGUGAAGGAAGACAUGUAAAAUGAGAAAUAGCCCAGCCUGUGUGGCCAAUUGUAAUUCACAGGGGAACUGGAAUUUAUAGGUCAUUUACAAGAAGUCAAGACCCAAGAUUAACGUCGAAGGAAGAAAUUCAAACUCAGCAGCUGAUGGAUUAGCUAAAUUUGCUAGGAAUUAUCCUUGAACCAAUAGCAGAUGUAUCUUGCUAACCACUCCUAGUGUGUAUUGACAUAGGUUCUUGAUAUUGACUCUAAUUUUUAUUGGAAAUAACUAGUUUUAGUCUCGUGCUUUAUUCUUCACUGUUUGAUUUAA
Molecule: RNA transcript, 1113 nt
Organism: Chenopodium quinoa (quinoa)
Lineage: Eukaryota; Viridiplantae; Streptophyta; Magnoliopsida; Caryophyllales; Amaranthaceae
Gene name: outer envelope pore protein 16-4, chloroplastic-like
Exons: 8
Source: RefSeq, a predicted model, not a curated record